Homo sapiens (human) is the source of this 776-nucleotide long non-coding RNA. NCBI's taxonomy places the organism in Eukaryota, Metazoa, Chordata, Mammalia, Primates, Hominidae. The record is from Ensembl.
GGAUGAAUAGAGACGAGGUAAAAUUCUGGCACCUAUCCACAGCCUGAACCUUGGAGAACACCUCCCUUUCAUAUGACUUCUGCAAAGGGCGUGUUUCAGCUCACAGGGACAAAGAGUCACUGCACCAGAGAACCAGAAAGAGUGAAGAAAUGUUUGUCCCCGGUGCUGAGAACACCAUCAGAUGAUCUUUCUGCCCAGAGCCACUAUCUGUCCCUAAAUAUCAGGUUUAUCAAUGCCUGGCCAUCUCUUUUCAAUUUGGGACAACUGCCAGCGACCACUAGCUAGCUCCAGAAUUCCUCAGUUACAGACACGGCUCACAGGCUUAAGCGUCUUGCUGUAGGUCAUACGGCAGGUUAAUGACAACACUGGGGCAAGAACACAGGUUACGCUCGUCCUGGGGAAGGCUCCCACACCAAGCUACACACUUCUGCAAUGCUGUUCCAGAUGUGAAAAUCCGCUAAGACAAAUAGGUCACAAAAACACCAUGGGAAACGAUGAUGUCUUUUCCUUUUUGUUAUCUUGAUAAAGCUUCAUACAUGAUGUCUUACUCCACAACGAGGUGCAAGAUCUUGAGGCUGGAUUUAGAAAGAGGAAGAGAAGACCAAUUGCACAGCUCAUCACCCCUCACCCAUCUGAUGAUAUGAAAGGUUUGAAGGAAGCCAGAGCUGGAGCAAGAUUUUCCUCAGAUGAGUUUUGAUGAACUACAAAGAAUGAAGAUGCUCUCCCUUGUCAUCCCCAGUCAAAGAAAAGGCACUUUAAAGAAAUCACUCACGAGC